RNAcentral lists this long non-coding RNA (3877 nucleotides) under Sorghum bicolor (sorghum). RNAcentral describes it as "long non-coding RNA (SBIC_LNC004602)". Lineage: Eukaryota; Viridiplantae; Streptophyta; Magnoliopsida; Poales; Poaceae. The record is from RNAcentral.
AUCCUCCUUCGCUCUCCAUCUUGCUACUAUCUAGAUCUACUCUAGUUUAGAGAAGAGAGGAGAUCUCUCAUCUCUAAACCCUAGCUUUUGCUCUGUCUAUGAAUAAUGAAUAAUGAUCAAGGGGUUGCCUCCUCCAGUGUCCAGGGGGUCUGGUUUUAUAGUCCCCUCAAGUGAACCUGGGCCGUCGGAUCAAACCGACAUUGAUUGAACGGUUAUUCUUGAUCCUUUAGGUCGGUGGAGCAUAAUCCACGAGAUUGAGCGUGAUUGGCCACAGGAGGUGGGCGGGCGCCCAGUAGGACAGGGCGGGCGCCCUGUCUCUGGCCCCGAUUCGCCUCCGCUUCGGUCUCGUGGCUUCUGGAGUCUUCUAGAUGUAAGAUAAUUGCGCGGCACGUUAAUAUCUUUACGUAAUCCCGACGUGUGGGCCUUUCUUCCUUAUUUCCUGAUAACCCCCUGCAGAAAUAGACAAACACCAAAACUCGUGGAAUUCUGUCAGAUAAAACCCUAAGUCUUGAUGUUGAUUUCAUUUGGAUCCUUUUCUUUGUUUAUUUGAUAGUUAAAUUUGAUACUUAAGGACCGUCAACAAACUCCCCCAAGCUUACCUCUUGCUCAUCCCUGAGCAAGGAUAGACUCAGCUAUGGAUCAUAAGUUGUUGCAAUAUCUUUAAAAUUGAUGGUACACAUGCUUUUAAAUGAGGUCUCAUCUCUGAGUUAGAGUAAACUGUCAAGACUUAAAACUUACUUACUUUACCUUUCACCAUGGGACUUGUAACCGUCACUUCUGUCUUGAGUGGUUAAAAGAUAGAACAGUCCAGUCAAGUGCCAUGUCUCUUAUUCUUGAUCAGCUAUAGCUCUGGAGUUUUUGCAAAUUUUCAAAUAAAACUCAGAGAUUCCUUUGUAUGACUCUCUCAUAUCUCUCUUUUGUGGUAUUUCUGGAUCCUUACCAAGGCAGUGAUGGUAUAUGCCUUCUCUCAAAAUAUGUGGUAUUUGUGGUAUAAGGGAUAGUGACAUUGUCUUCUCUCUCACCCUACUCUAAUAAGGCUUUAAUAUCUGGAGCUCAUAGGUGGGAGAUAAAAUAUACAUACUUACAAGACAUUUAUUGUAUAGUCAAACCAUGGAUCCAAAGAAACAAAUCAAUAAGCCAAAUCAAGAUGUGCAUGUGUGGCGAAUGAAUAGUGUAUGGUGAUGAUGGUGAUAACAAUGGUGAAAGUCUAAUUCUACUUUUGCUCUUUUGAGGGGAUACAUACCUUCCUUGCUUUUUGAAACUUUAUGAGGAGAAUGAGAUGCUCUUCUUUUUCUUUUCUCUCAGAUGGGUAUCCUGUACCCCUAAUUCUACUGUCGGACACUUGUCCAUUUUUACCUCUCGUCUCACUCUUUUUCUUUUCUUUCGAGGUUUCGGGCACUUGCCCCUUUUUAUUUCCUCGUUUAUUAUUUUUUUUUCUUCUUUUUUUUUCUUCUUUUUUUUCAGAGCACUCAUCUCUUGAGAUAAUAUAGCAAGUGGUAGUAGCAAGAUAACUUGAGCAUUUAUUUCACAAGGGAAAAACACAGAUGUUUUUGGCUAUUCUCUCCCGAAUUAGGAGUAGAAUAUUUUUAGGUGAUUCUGGAGAUGGAAAUGGAUGGAUAUACGUGGAUGGUACUUCCGGAGUAGAAGUAGCAUAUAUAUGAGUGAACGUGCAAGUGAAUCUUGAUUUAACCACAUGACAAGCUCCUAAGGGUCUACACAGCUUGACCACACUCAAUGCUCAUAAGCAGUAAAUAAUAAAUGUGUGGCUCAAAGUCUAGCAAGCAUGUAUAUAUGGCUGUGGUAGGAAUUUAAACUUUCAUCAUACAGGAACUCAUCAUGCAACAUUUUAAAGAUUUUUCAAAGAUAAAAUUCUCCAGAAUUCUAGCAUCUCUAGGAAUAGAUAAACAGCAGCGCAACCUUCCCAUAUCAUAUCCGUUAACAACUUAGAUUUCAGAUCAAGUUUUCAUCCCACAAGUUUAGAUCUAGAGCAAGCUUUAAAUUAUAACAGUUAUGUCUAAACUUGAGAGAGAACUUCAAAUUUGCAAAUUAGGCAAAGCAACUAUUCAUCAUAUCCAUGCUAGAGUUUUAUUAUUAAGAUUAGCAUAGCCACUUUAUUUAUUUAUUAAACACACUAAGCAAAAGAUAUAUAUAUAUAAGCACAAAAUCUUUAUUUGGUUUUUCAUAGUUUAUGUAUUUUAAUAUUCUAAUAUAAUAUAAGUAUAAAGAUAGGUAGAAAUACUUAGCGAGAUAAAUGGGGGUGCUCUCCCCCAAGCUGAAUUUUGACGUAAUUUCUCUUGAUGUAGCUAGCAGGUGGCAGAGGUGUAUUUGAAAGUCAGCAGCAUUCUGACAGCGAUUAGAAUGUCCUCCGUCUGCUAGUCUUCUUGAUUCUUAAAUUCUGUGGAGCUCAAAUAGACAACAAAGCUUGUGGAACUAAUUAAGUGUUAGCAUAAAUAUCUAGCCUGCAUCACGUUGAGCUUCCUCAAUAAAUAUUACUCCCUGUUUUUAUAUUUUUAUUUUAUAAAGUAGAAAAGAAAUAUUUAUUUUAUUUUUAUGCCACCACAGUGAAGGUACUUAUGGGUUUUAUGCCACUCGUAUACUAACAUGGGGCUUAGUAUUUUUUAACAUUUUUAUUUUCUUUUCAAGAUAGCAUGAUUAACUAAUAAUCUAUUUAAGGAAAGUAAAUAAUUAAAUGGAAAAGGGAAUGCAGAAAGGAUAAAUAUGGAUAACUACCAAUCUUACCUUUCGGCGAGGGUUCAAAGUUUUAAGUCUUCUUGUCAAGACUUCUCAUCGUGUUCAUUCUUCAGGUGCGUCAUUUGAUUCAGGUGCGGACCUUGACGUCUGCACCUUUUAAUACGGUGUCACCCAUGUUCUUCGUUUGCCCAGCAGUUCGAAGUGCGGUGUUAGCAGUGUCUUGCUCAGUGUGUUUGUGCUCGUAGUGUACCUGCUCAUAGAGACAAGGCAGAGAUCAAGUGCAUGGGCCCUGUUGGUGGAAAACACCAACAGAACCAAAAGUGUAUUUGUUCUUCUCUAACCUUAAGCAUAUUGAGCAAGACAAGUUGAUGGAUGAUAAGUUCAUGAGUGUAGCACUUAUAACAUUUGUCAGAUCAGAUCGCUCAACCUUAUGGAAAGAUAAUCUAUCUAUGUAUAUGUCUUUUUCUUUAUAUCUCUCAAUGAUUGAAUGUGUAACAUUUUAGCUCAUAUGAUUAGGAGUGUGGGAUCAUGGAGGUAGUACUAAGAACAAGGAUUAAAGGACUAAACAUGUUGAAUCAGUUGGGUUGGUUAAUCUAGAGUUGUAAAUCAUACACGUUUGUCUCUUUUAUUUAUAUGAACGCCAGAACCAAGGAGAAGCUUAUAAAGGCGAUAGUCAAGUACCUUAAGAUGUUACCUUGCUCGAAGAGUGAUGGUACAGUAUCAUCUUGUGGAAGCUUUCCUUUCUUAGCGGUUGUGCGUCGUGUUUGUGGCACCCUCCAUGGAUCAUCUCUCUAUGAUGAAUGAGCUAUGUCCUUCUUGUGCAAAUUGUUAAACUUCAUGUGUCACUCUCUUCGUCUCUGAUGUGAGUUUAUCUCAGGACUUCCCAAAUCGAUAUUGAAAGCUUUUCUCCAGGGGUUAGUCCGACAAAAUAUACCAAUAUCUACUCAAGUAGUUUUUUUAGUUCAAUAACCAAACUAGACUCCAUGUCUAAUCAGAUUAAGGAAGGCUAUUUAACCUAAGCACCAUGCUUAAUUUAAAUGCCAAUGGAAGUAUGGCUAGUACUUCCAAACCAACACUUGCUAGUAAAUAGACAAAGGUAGCAUGACAGCGUUUAUAGAGAUCUACUCAAGUGGAGAUGAAGUAGUGUGAUUAGUAUUUAACAAAUUGAGCAUGUCUCAAAGGUAGG